Molecule: unclassified non-coding RNA, 217 nt
Filed under: soil metagenome
Description: partial contains 5.8S ribosomal RNA, internal transcribed spacer 2, and large subunit ribosomal RNA
Source: RNAcentral
AACCUAGCACACCUGCGGUGUGUACCUGCGGAGGGAUCAUUACAAGUGACCCCGGUCUAACCACCGGGAUGUUCAUAACCCUUUGUUGUCCGACUCUGUUGCCUCCGGGGCGACCCUGCCUUCGGGCGGGGGCUCCGGGUGGACACUUCAAACUCUUGCGUAACUUUGCAGUCUGAGUAAACUUAAUUAAUAAAUUAAAACUUUCAGCAACGGAUCU